This 84-nucleotide small nucleolar RNA is filed under the name Erythranthe guttata (spotted monkey flower). RNAcentral's name for it is "Mimulus guttatus (spotted monkey flower) Small nucleolar RNA SNORD25". It matches the Rfam family "Small nucleolar RNA SNORD25". From Rfam's summary of the family: U25 is a member of the C/D class of snoRNA which contain the C (UGAUGA) and D (CUGA) box motifs. U25 is found in gene clusters in plants, and within the U22 snoRNA host gene (UHG) in mammals. The record is from Rfam by way of RNAcentral. Lineage: Eukaryota; Viridiplantae; Streptophyta; Magnoliopsida; Lamiales; Phrymaceae.
GAAAACGAUGAUGAGUCAUACAGACCUGUAAUGAUUGCAGAUAUGAUUGCAAUUGUUUUUGAACAUCUAAGGGACUGAGUUUUU